AGCGAACGCUGGCGGUAGGCCUAACACAUGCAAGUCGAACGGCAGCACAGUAAGAGCUUGCUCUUACGGGUGGCGAGUGGCGGACGGGUGAGGAAUACAUCGGAAUCUACUUUUUCGUGGGGGAUAACGUAGGGAGACUUACGCUAAUACCGCAUACGACCUACGGGUGAAAGCAGGGGAUCUUCGGACCUUGCGCGAUUGAAUGAGCCGAUGUCGGAUUAGCUAGUUGGCGGGGUAAAGGCCCACCAAGGCGACGAUCCGUAGCUGGUCUGAGAGGAUGAUCAGCCACACUGGAACUGAGACACGGUCCAGACUCCUACGGGAGGCAGCAGUGGGGAAUAUUGGACAAAGGGCGCAAGCCUGAUCCAGCCAUACCGCGUGGGUGAAGAAGGCCUUCGGGUUGUAAAGCCCUUUUGUUGGGAAAGAAAAGCAGCAGGUUAAUACCCCGCUGUUCUGACGGUACCCAAAGAAUAAGCACCGGCUAACUUCGUG
RNAcentral lists this ribosomal RNA (492 nucleotides) under uncultured bacterium. RNAcentral's name for it is "partial 16S ribosomal RNA". It matches the Rfam family "Bacterial small subunit ribosomal RNA", at positions 29 to 507 of the family's 1533-position model. The record is from RNAcentral.